Lentinula edodes (shiitake mushroom) is the source of this 88-nucleotide non-coding RNA. NCBI's taxonomy places the organism in Eukaryota, Fungi, Basidiomycota, Agaricomycetes, Agaricales, Omphalotaceae. The record is from Rfam.
GUCCCUGUAGAUUAGUGGUUAGAUCACCACGUUGUGGCAUUUGCUUAACAAUUCCGUGGCGACGCAGGCUCGACUCCUGCCAGGGACA